GCGAGGAUGGCGGAAUUGGUAGACGCGCUAGACUUAGGAUCUAGUACCGCAAGGUGUGUGGGUUCAAGUCCCAUUCCUCGCACCA
This 85-nucleotide transfer RNA is filed under the name Truepera radiovictrix. RNAcentral's name for it is "tRNA-Leu". It matches the Rfam family "tRNA". From Rfam's summary of the family: Transfer RNA (tRNA) molecules are approximately 80 nucleotides in length. Their secondary structure includes four short double-helical elements and three loops (D, anti-codon, and T loops). Further hydrogen bonds mediate the characteristic L-shaped molecular structure. tRNAs have two regions of fundamental functional importance: the anti-codon, which is responsible for specific mRNA codon recognition, and the 3' end, to which the tRNAs corresponding amino acid is attached (by aminoacyl-tRNA synthetases). tRNAs cope with the degeneracy of the genetic code in two manners: having more than one tRNA (with a specific anti-codon) for a particular amino acid; and 'wobble' base-pairing, i.e. permitting non-standard base-pairing at the 3rd anti-codon position. Lineage: Bacteria; Thermotogati; Deinococcota; Deinococci; Trueperales; Trueperaceae. The record is from RNAcentral. RNAcentral also lists the same sequence under 2 other names.